This 1282-nucleotide ribosomal RNA is filed under the name 'Dendrocalamus stocksii' aster yellows phytoplasma. RNAcentral describes it as "bacterial SSU rRNA". It matches the Rfam family "Bacterial small subunit ribosomal RNA", at positions 153 to 1435 of the family's 1533-position model. The record is from RNAcentral. Lineage: Bacteria; Bacillati; Mycoplasmatota; Mollicutes; Acholeplasmatales; Acholeplasmataceae.
AAAACGACUGCUAAGACUGGAUAGGAGACAAGAAGGCAUCUUCUUGUUUUUAAAAGACCUAGCAAUAGGUAUGCUUAGGGAGGAGCUUGCGUCACAUUAGUUAGUUGGUGGGGUAAAGGCCUACCAAGACUAUGAUGUGUAGCCGGGCUGAGAGGUUGAACGGCCACAUUGGGACUGAGACACGGCCCAAACUCCUACGGGAGGCAGCAGUAGGGAAUUUUCGGCAAUGGAGGAAACUCUGACCGAGCAACGCCGCGUGAACGAUGAAGUAUUUCGGUACGUAAAGUUCUUUUAUUAGGGAAGAAUAAAUGAUGGAAAAAUCAUUCUGACGGUACCUAAUGAAUAAGCCCCGGCUAACUAUGUGCCAGCAGCCGCGGUAAUACAUAGGGGGCAAGCGUUAUCCGGAAUUAUUGGGCGUAAAGGGUGCGUAGGCGGUUAAAUAAGUUUAUGGUCUAAGUGCAAUGCUCAACAUUGUGAUGCUAUAAAAACUGUUUAGCUAGAGUAAGAUAGAGGCAAGUGGAAUUCCAUGUGUAGUGGUAAAAUGCGUAAAUAUAUGGAGGAACACCAGUAGCGAAGGCGGCUUGCUGGGUCUUUACUGACGCUGAGGCACGAAAGCGUGGGGAGCAAACAGGAUUAGAUACCCUGGUAGUCCACGCCGUAAACGAUGAGUACUAAACGUUGGGUAAAACCAGUGUUGAAGUUAACACAUUAAGUACUCCGCCUGAGUAGUACGUACGCAAGUAUGAAACUUAAAGGAAUUGACGGGACUCCGCACAAGCGGUGGAUCAUGUUGUUUAAUUCGAAGGUACCCGAAAAACCUCACCAGGUCUUGACAUGCUUCUGCAAAGCUGUAGAAACACAGUGGAGGUUAUCAGUUGCACAGGUGGUGCAUGGUUGUCGUCAGCUCGUGUCGUGAGAUGUUGGGUUAAGUCCCGCAACGAGCGCAACCCUUAUUGUUAGUUACCAGCACGUAAUGGUGGGGACUUUAGCAAGACUGCCAGUGAUAAAUUGGAGGAAGGUGGGGACGACGUCAAAUCAUCAUGCCCCUUAUGACCUGGGCUACAAACGUGAUACAAUGGCUGUUACAAAGGGUAGCUGAAGCGCAAGUUUUUGGCGAAUCUCAAAAAAACAGUCUCAGUUCGGAUUGAAGUCUGCAACUCGACUUCAUGAAGUUGGAAUCGCUAGUAAUCGCGAAUCAGCAUGUCGCGGUGAAUACGUUCUCGGGGUUUGUACACACCGCCCGUCAAACCACGAAAGUUGGCAAUACCCAAAGCCGGUGGCC